GCCGCAUUGGCGUAGUGGUAGCGCGCCCCACUUGUACUAGCAAGGUUAUGGGGAGGUCACUCGUUCAACCCGGGUAUGUGGCA
Molecule: non-coding RNA, 83 nt
Organism: Daedaleopsis nitida
Lineage: Eukaryota; Fungi; Basidiomycota; Agaricomycetes; Polyporales; Polyporaceae
Source: the annotation of a GenBank genome assembly